GCGAGUCGAGAGGGUUCGGCCCUCGGCUGACGGCUCAGUAACACGUGGAUAAUCUGCCCUUAGGUGGAGGAUACCCUCGGGAAACUGAGAAUAAUACUCCAUAGGUCUAGGAUGCUGGAAUGCAUCUAGACUUAAAGCUCCGGCGCCUAAGGAUGAGUCUGCGGACUAUCAGGUUGUAGUCAGGGUAAUGACCUGACUAGCCUACGACGGAUACGGGUUGUGAGAGCAAUAACCCGGAGAUGAUAUCUGAGACACGAUAUCAGGCCCUACGGGGCGCAGCAGGCGCGAAAACUUCACAAUGUGCGAAAGCGCGAUGAGGGAAUCCCAAGUGCUUGCUCGUAAGAGUAAGCUGUUUUUAUGUUUAAAACGCAUAGAGAGUAAGAGCUGGGUAAGACGGGUGCCAGCCGCCGCGGUAAUACCUGCAGCUCGAGUGGUGGCCGCUAUUAUUGGGCCUAAAACGUCCGUAGCCGGUUUAUUAAAUGCCUGGGUAAAUCGUGUAGCUUAACUAUACGAAUUCCGGGUAGACUGUUAAACUUGAGACCGGGAGAAGCUAGAAGUACUCCUGGGGUAGAGGUGAAAUUCUGUAAUCCUAGGGGGACCACCAGUGGCGAAGGCGUCUAGCUAGAACGGGUUUGACGGUGAGGGACGAAGCCCUGGGGCGCAAACCGGAUUAGAUACCCGGGUAGUCCAGGGUGUAAACGCUGCUUGCUUGAUGUUAGUCGGGCUCCGAGCCCGAUUAGUGUCGG
This 746-nucleotide ribosomal RNA is filed under the name uncultured archaeon. RNAcentral's name for it is "bacterial SSU rRNA". It matches the Rfam family "Archaeal small subunit ribosomal RNA", at positions 53 to 804 of the family's 1478-position model. The record is from RNAcentral.